GGCAGGCGGUGUGCUGUCCGGGUGGGAGCCCCCUGCACCCCCUGCACCCCCUGCACCCCCUGCCCCUGCGCAGCUCCCACAGGGGGGGCUCCGGGGUGGAGCGGUGGCCGCAGACGCAAGCGCUCCCUCCCUCCGCCCGCGUCUCCCAGGCGACAGCAGCCUCGGUCUCGGCUCGGCCCCUCCCCCGCCCCGCCCCGGCUGCGAAGCGUCUGGAACCGCAUCCUUCCUCCGCAUCCUCGUCCUGCGGCCGCGCCGUGCAGCAGCUGCCCGUCGGAGCCGCCUGUGAGCCAUUUCCACAUUUCUCCUUGUGGAGCGGGGGCGAGGGGGGCCGAGUGUGCAGGGGCGUGUGCACGGCCGCGCGAGGUGCGCGUGCAGGUGCGCGUGCAGGUGCGUGUGCAGGGACGGGGGCACCGCGGCCGACCCGAUGGCGGCCGGGGGGAGCCGGGGUCCCUCCUUGGGGUCUCCGGUGGCCGCAGCGGGGUGCUGUCCGCAGGCCCCCCCGACGGCCGGGGCCUCCGCGGGGCGAGCCGCUGCCCGGACCCCCGAGGAACCGCCGGUGUCCAGCCGCGCGCAGACCCGACGUGCCGCCCCGACCCCGUCUCGGCCGCGCGGCGCGGCGCGGGCGGGGGUCGGGGCCAGCAUCAGCGGCGUCGCGGGGGCCGGAGAGCCCUGGGGGCUGCGGGGGGGCGGCCCGUUCCAGAAGGUCCGGCUCUGUGCGAGGGCGGGGGGCGCGGGGGGCGCGGGGGGAGCGGACGGCCGGACCGAGGAGCGCCGGGGCCCCGCGCCAUCGCUCCAGCAGCACCUGCCGCAGACCCCGGGCUCGGGCCACAGGUGGCGGGCGCGCGGGAAGCCGGGGCGGGUGCAGAGACGAGCCGCCCCCACCUGGGCCUCCGGGGCUGUGCGGGAGCCGAGAGCCAGGCCGGGGGCGGCGGGCGCGGGGGCGGGGGCUUGCGCCCUGCGGGGUGUCCGCUCUGCACGCGCCGCCCCGCGCUCCGCAGUCACAUGCGCGCCCGACACGCGCCCGGCCCGCAGGAGCCCGCGCAGGUGCGCAGCCCUCCGCGUGACGCAGAUGCAGCCGGGCGGGGGCGGGCGGGGGCGGGCGGGGGCGGGCGGGCGAGCACCCGCGGCCCGGCUCCUGCGGGCUGUUCCGCCAGGGCCCCUCGCCCCCCUCCCCGCGCCCCGCUCAUCCCGCGCCGCCUCCGCAGACGCCGCCCAGCAGCCCGCAGUGGGGAGCGGACGACGGCAGAAGGGGGGGGCGGGAGGCGCAGGGCGACCUCCGAGCCUGUCCUGGGAAUGAGCCCAGCCCGCCUGCCCAGGGGGCCCCACGACUCAGCGAGGGAAAUGGAUGUGGGGGGGGGUCCCACAUGCAGCCCGCCCCUGCCCCAGCAUUGCGCCUCGGGCGUGAGGCCUGGAACCCGACGCGGAGAGGCCCGAAGGCCCCAAAUGGCUCCUUCCCUUGGAGAAGAUGUGUCAUUCCCGGCCUCCGUUGCCAUGGAAACCCGUGAUGACGUCACACGGACGUCACGCUCUGUCGGAGGAGGCUCGUCUCCUAGAGGACCCCAGAGGCGGAGCUACCUGUCCCGGGGCCGGCGGCCGGAGGUUGGGGCUAAGGGCGACCUCGCGCCCCCCGCCCCCCGCCCCCCUCUGCAAGCCGCAGGGCCCCGCCGCCCUCCCGCCCCUGCGAAGCCCCCCUGCAGCGCUGCGCACUUGCUGCCCCGGCCUCCCCCUCCUCCGCAGCCCGUCAGGCCCUCCCUCCGGGGUCCCCUCCCGGGGCUUCCGGGCCCUCUGUCCUCCCCAGCGCUGGGAUGUUCCCACGGGUGCUGGUCCACCUCGGCCUCCCGCGGCUGCCCUGCGUCCUCCCCGGGCUGCCCCCCUGCCAGCCCCACUCCCUAG
RNAcentral lists this long non-coding RNA (1893 nucleotides) under Canis lupus familiaris (dog). RNAcentral's name for it is "lncRNA (ENSCAFG00845026603.1)". The record is from RNAcentral. Lineage: Eukaryota; Metazoa; Chordata; Mammalia; Carnivora; Canidae.